UGGGGAAUAUUGGACAAUGGGCGAAAGCCUGAUCCAGCCAUGCCGCGUGUGUGAAGAAGGUCUUCGGAUUGUAAAGCACUUUAAGCGAGGAGGAGGGUACUGGUAUUAAUACUACCAGGUACUGGACGUUACUCGCAGAAUAAGCACCGGCUAACUCUGUGCCAGCAGCCGCGGUAAUACAGAGGGUGCAAGCGUUAAUCGGAAUUACUGGGCGUAAAGCGCGCGUAGGUGGUUCGUUAAGUUGAAUGUGAAAGCCCCGGGCUCAACCUGGGAACUGCAUCCAAAACUGGCGAGCUAGAGUAGGGCAGAGGGUGGUGGAAUUUCCUGUGUAGCGGUGAGAUGCGUAGAUAUAGGAAGGAACACCAGUGGCGAAGGCGACCACCUGGGCUCAUACUGACACUGAGGUGCGAAAGCGUGGGGAGCAAACAGG
Molecule: ribosomal RNA, 430 nt
Filed under: Pseudomonadota bacterium
Lineage: Bacteria; Pseudomonadati; Pseudomonadota
Description: Proteobacteria bacterium partial 16S ribosomal RNA
Rfam family: Bacterial small subunit ribosomal RNA
Source: RNAcentral